This 404-nucleotide long non-coding RNA is filed under the name Rattus norvegicus (Norway rat). RNAcentral's name for it is "long non-coding RNA NONRATT010320". The record is from RNAcentral. Lineage: Eukaryota; Metazoa; Chordata; Mammalia; Rodentia; Muridae.
GGAGCUAUUCAACCGGAAACUAGGGGCUGCGGGUAGAAGGACGCCAGGGCGAGGCCAGAAUGCAACCAGAACCCGGGCACUCGCCACCAACACCGCCCCUCAGGCCCAGCCCGUUCCGCCGCGGGGAUCACAAGGACCAGACCCGGGUCCACGCGGAGGCCACGUUCCAACCGUCUGCCCGCAGCGCGGGGGUCUUCCGGGCCGCCGCUGGAAGUCGGGACAGACGGUGAACCUGCACAGUCCCGCGGUGCCUCCCUCCGCCGCCGCUUACCAUUUUCCUUCCGGUCGUCAGCCGUCCGUUGCCGUAUGAUCUCUUGGGCCCCUUUAAGAAUGGCUCUGCAGCCACCUCCCUUCCUGCUUCGGCUGGCACACAGCUCAGUGUUCCCCACCUAACUACGCGGCCG